Molecule: long non-coding RNA, 297 nt
Filed under: Bos taurus (domestic cattle)
Lineage: Eukaryota; Metazoa; Chordata; Mammalia; Artiodactyla; Bovidae
Description: long non-coding RNA NONBTAT016762
Source: RNAcentral
UACUACAGGUUUUGUGUAAAUGAUACAGUAUGAGAACUGAACAAAAUAGCUCUGAUAAAGGACAGAGAAGUAUUCAAAGGAUGUAUCAGCUGGUCAUUAGAAUAUUUGAAGUAAUUUACCAUAGACCUUGUGAAAGCUGUAUACCUGUUUUGCUUUAAAUAUUAGCUUCUUCCAUAGAGAACAGAAAAUUGACAUAGGAAGUGGUUCUAAAAAACACCAUUCCUGUGUUUUGUGAUCAGUUUUCCAAAAGGAGUUAUAAGAUUUUAUCUAGUGGGGUUUUUAAAACUGUUCUCUCAU